UGGAAGUUUAAAUUUGGUUUUUUGUUUUGUUUUGGGUAGAAAACGACAGAUGGCGAAAGUUUACCAUCGGCGUCCAUCCGUGCUCCCAUCAUGCUCCGGGGCGCUCCUGUCUAUCUUCCUGACGUCAUAAGCCAUACUGGCAGUUUAGUGAAUGGAAGGCUAGUCGCGGGGAGGACGUUGAGUUGUGUCCACAUUUGGUGUGCUAUUUACUCUAUCCCAUCUUCUGUUGUCGUCCGGUCUUGGGACUAAGGUGGCGACAGCAUGCCAAGGCGCAAGCAAGACAGACCACAACGGAUGAAAUGUAAGUCUUCUUUAUAUAUCUCUCUCGGUCUCCGCUUGGGCUUGACAAGCUGGGGGAUGGUAUGACAGAAUGCGCACACACGUUAAACCUGACAGCUUUCGCUCAACUGCGGCUGACGGUUGCCUGGCAACCGGCAAAACCGAAAAUAUAUUCCCGCGGCCAUACCCGCUUUAAUUUAGACUUUAUUUUCGGCCCGGCGGGAAACCCGUGAAGGGAGGGCCCGAGCCCGUUCUCGGGCCUUUCUUCCGGCCCCCUUUUUUUUCGGGAGAGGGGAACAUAGGGGUGGCCCCACGAGUAAAACGAUGGAGGAUUAGGACCCGCGCCCCGGGGUCGGGUUAAAAGAGAAAACGUCGGCGGACGAGUCGAGGUGACGAUGAUUCAGUUUUGCGGUACCGAAGCGCCACCAGCCAACAACGUCAGACGUCAGCUUCUCUUCAAUCAUCCGCCGGACAGCUGUCACGUGACGUGUCUCCUAGACAACCGGCGCUGGUUUGGCAUGUCUGGCCGAGAAACGUUUGGUUUUGUCUCUUUUCUUCUCGUCCGUAAUCGUUGCCGAACCCGUAAGGUAGUUAUUUAAGCGGUGCGCGUAAUUGCCCCCUCCUUAGCGCGCUCGGCUGGAGCUACCUCUUUCGAAAUGGUUCAAAGUCCAGAUGUCGGUGGAUCUUUUCCUUAAAAUUUAAGAGGUAAUUCCGUCAUCUGGCGCGCUGAUUAUAUCGCACUGUAACGUUAAACGGGUACGCCAGUUUGGCCGCGUCUAUCUCUUAAAAACCGCAUCUUGUAUACACUUUAUUUACUCGGUGACACAAACGGAAUGCCAGUAGCGAUUUAUUUAAAAGGCUCUUCUCAAACCGCUCCGUUCGUGUUAUUGAAAAUUCGUGCGGAAUGUUUCCCGCUGCGGGACAAAGUAUUCACUACUCCGUUCUUUAUUCUGUGCCCAGAUAAAAUAAGUUUGCACUGGCUGCCAACUUAUUCCGGCGGGAGAAACGCGUUUCACUGUAUUUUCUGUUGGAGUUCGACCGCAUUCGCCGUUUAAAAAGAACAAUCCGUCCUUCUAACAGGUUCUUGGCUGACAAAUGCGCCGUAUGUUGGCCCUUAACCAAGACAUUCGUAUUGGCAUCUAUUAAAUCCCAAUUUCUCCAGUUUAUAAACAGCUGCGAGGAUAGCUAGGCUCCGGCUGGGAUGCGCUGCUUUUAAAUUAUCGCUGUUACUAAAAAGGUUCGCGAACCAGAAGCGUGGUGGUGGCGAUCUUAGCGGCGUAACUGGGAUGUCCCGCGCGCAGAUUCAGUCUUUGGGGUUGGCUACGCGCGCCGAGUACGAAAUUGGGUCAAUAAUCACGUGCGGCCCACUUGGCGUAAUUCGAACGAAAGACGCGGGACAGUCGUCGAACUUUCUUUUUUUAUUUUUUGACCAAGAGAUAAAAGGCCAUUAAUCUAUAAUAAGAAGAUAAUCAUCUGGCACGGAUCUAGGACCCAGUAGCCGGGUCUCAUCCUAAAAAUCCCUCGAAUUCGAUCGUCUGGUAAAUUCCCACCAGAAGCAUUUACCGAGCGUCUGUGUAUUGUUACUACUUUCUUAAUUUAGAAGUAGGCAGUUCAAAAAGCCGAGGGCCACCUGCACUCCGGACCACGUGACCUCGGAUCCCCGUCACGUGACUGUGGCCUCCGGCGGUCGGAGUCGUUUUACCGCCUCGGUUAGCCUUUUAAAGCCUUUUUGGCGGCUAGAUUAGUCGAUUAGGUGGGUUUAUCCCAUCUGGGAUGGGAAUUUACAUUUCGAUUAAAUUAGGUACAGUAUAUGUUUACCUCGAUCACCCGCCUUUACGCCAUUAUUUUUAAAUGAGAAAAGCAAAUUUCUUUAGAUGGUCGACGCUAACCCGACGUUAAAAAAAUCUGUUUAAUAAAGCGCAUGCGCGUCGUCUGCUUCAAAUUUGAUUAUCUUAUCCCGAAAAUAAUUUAAUAAGAGCUUAAUUCGUAAAUUUAUAAAUAGGAACGCGAUUUCGCGAAUUAAAUUCUUUAAACGUAAUUAAUUCGCAGCGAAUUUCCGGCUCGACCCCCGACUUUUGACCAAUGAGAAAAAAGAACGAUUGAUCUCCUAUUUUUAAAAGAAAAUCGAACAGACGACACGCGCCCCCAAUCGGAUUGGUCGGUCAACACGAGCGAUUCGAAAAAAAAAAAAAAAUAUUUUAAUCGAAUUUGGCGAGAUGUGCCAAAUUGUUGUCAUUUUAAUCAAACCAGAUCACAAAUAAAAAAAA
Molecule: long non-coding RNA, 2546 nt
Filed under: Androctonus crassicauda
Lineage: Eukaryota; Metazoa; Arthropoda; Arachnida; Scorpiones; Buthidae
Source: RNAcentral